This 253-nucleotide ribosomal RNA is filed under the name uncultured bacterium. Its description in RNAcentral is "partial 16S ribosomal RNA". It matches the Rfam family "Bacterial small subunit ribosomal RNA", at positions 524 to 776 of the family's 1533-position model. The record is from RNAcentral.
UACGGAGGGUGCGAGCGUUAAUCGGAAUAACUGGGCGUAAAGGGUACGCAGGCGGGCUUUUAAGUGAGAUGUGAAAUCCCCGGGCUUAACCUGGGAAUAGCAUUUGAGACUGGGAAGCUAGAGUACUUUAGGGAGGGGGAGAAUUCCACGUGUAGCGGUGAAAUGCGUAGAGAUGUGGAGGAAUACCGAAGGCGAAGGCAGUCCCUUGGGAAUGUACUGACGCUCAUGUGCGAAAGCGUGGGGAGCAAACAGG